Molecule: ribosomal RNA, 1227 nt
Filed under: Micrococcus luteus
Lineage: Bacteria; Bacillati; Actinomycetota; Actinomycetes; Micrococcales; Micrococcaceae
Description: bacterial LSU rRNA
Rfam family: Bacterial large subunit ribosomal RNA
Source: RNAcentral
AAAGUUUUCUAAGGGGCGCAUGGUGGAUGCCUUGGCAACAGGAGCCGAAGAAGGACGUGGGAUCUGCGAUAAGCCUGGUGGAGUCGAUAACCGGACGUGAGACCAGGAUUUCCGAAUGGGGAAACCCCGCACGACGUGUCGUGUGACCCCCGGUUGAACACAUAGACCGGGUGGAGGGAACGUGGGGAAGUGAAACAUCUCAGUACCCACAGGAAGAGAAAACAAAAGUGAUUCCGUUAGUAGUGGCGAGCGAACGCGGAUGGGGCUAAACCGUAUGUGUGUGAUACCCGGCAGGGGUUGCAUGUGCGGUGUUGUGGGCCCCUCCUUGUCAUGUCUGCCGGCAUGGCGCAGUGAGGUGCGGGCAUAUAGACGAACCAGUGUGGAUGCUGGACCGUAGAGGGUGAGAGUCCCGUAGUCGAAAUGUGUUCCGCCGCUGUUGGGGGGGUUGCCCGAGUAGCACGGGGCCCGAGGAAUCCCGUGUGAAUCUGCCAGGACCACCUGGUAAGCCUGAAUACUACCUGUUGACCGAUAGCGGAUCAGUACCGUGAGGGAAUGGUGAAAAGUACCCCGGGAGGGGAGUGAAAUAGUACCUGAAACCAUGUGCCUACAAACCGUUGGAGCCUUCUUGUGGGGUGACAGCGUGCCUUUUGAAGAAUGAGCCUGCGAGUUAGUGAUACGUGGCGAGGUUAACCCGUGUGGGGAAGCCGUAGCGAAAGCGAGUCUGAAUAGGGCGAUUGAGUCGCGUGUCCUAGACCCGAAGCGGAGUGAUCUACCCAUGGCCAGGUUGAAGCGCGUGUAAGAGCGCGUGGAGGACCGAACCCACUUCAGUUGAAAAUGGAGGGGAUGAGCUGUGGGUAGGGGGUGAAAGGCCAAUCAAACUCCGUGAUAGCUGGUUCUCCCCGAAAUGCAUUUAGGUGCAGCGUCACGUGUUUCUUCCCGGAGGUAGAGCUACUGGAUGGACGAUGGGCCCUACAAGGUUACUGACUUCAGCCAAACUCCGAAUGCCGGGGAAGUGAGAGCGUGGCAGUGAGACUGUGGGGGGAUAAGCUUCAUAGUCGAGAGGGGAAACAGCCCCAGACCACCGGUUAAGGCCCCUAAGCGUGUGCUAAGUGGGAAAGGGAAUGUGGAGUUGCUGAGACAACCAGGAGGGUUGGCUUAGAAGCAGCCACCCUUGAAAGAGUGCGUAAUAGCUCACUGUCAAGUGAUUCCGCGCCGACAUGUAGCGGG